RNAcentral lists this ribosomal RNA (164 nucleotides) under Arabidopsis thaliana (thale cress). The record is from RNAcentral. Lineage: Eukaryota; Viridiplantae; Streptophyta; Magnoliopsida; Brassicales; Brassicaceae.
GUCUUCAAAAAAGAAUAGAUACCAUUCGAUUGCAUGUAGUAACAGAUGCGAUCAUACCAGCACUAAUGCACCAUAUCCCAUCAGAACUCCGCAGUUAAGCGUGUUUGGGCAAGAGUAGUACUAGGAUGGGUGACCUCCCGGAAAGUCCUCGUGUUGCAUCCCUC